GGUUAUGUUCGAUUGCUAAAUUAAUCUUUUGAACUGGUUAACAAAUGUUAUCUGAAUGAUUUGUUCAUAAAUCUGACUCAAGAACCAUUUCAUAAACAUAAGGUUCAAGACUUUUAGUUCUAUUCAAUGUAUAGGCUAAAUAUUUUUAUAUUCUUUGUAAGAACCAAUAGCAAAACUCACUGGCUGUAACUCUUGCUGUAAUCCUAACCAUUUGUAUUUAAUUAACAGAAUAAUAAAAUAACAAUGCAACAAAUUCUGACAUUUUAUUCUGAUGUACUAACACUUUCAGUGGACAAACUGGUCCAAUCCUUAGCUUGUCAUUUAUUAUACAAAAGUAGAAACACUCAAUUUCUAAUGUUUCUUAUGUUUAUUUCCCCUAGUCUGUCCAGAAACAAAACCUUAAAAUAUUCAAGUCAUUCUCCCCAUCAUGGAAGGCUCAUUUGUUGUGCCCAUGAUCGUGUUUUUCGCAAUGGCUGUUUCUAUGUUCAUCAUCUUCUACUGCCUGGCCAAAAGACAUGCACAGUAUGUGCAGUCAAAUACUACAGUCACGACUACACAUCACCCACAAUACUCAUAUCAACAGCCUUUGGCUAAUCACCAACAGCCAGCGUAUGGGGCACAUCCCAUUCUGACUGGACCAUAUCAGCAAACUUAUGUCCCGGGACCACCACCCACAUAUCAGGAGGCGGGUAAGAUCGGCAAACAUCUACCUGAAAGCUUACACCAACAAUAAACAUACAGCCACAUUUGUUUUGUUUUUAGUUUUAUUUUAUUUUAUUUUUGUGUUAAACGAUAGGUAAAAUAAUGUGGAGGCUAUUCAUUUAUUUGCUUUUAUAUCUGCCUAUUUUAAUGGAUUUGGGAAGCAUAAAGUCUAACGCAUUUUACAAGACCAAAUGUUGAACUUUACUGUUUUAAGUGUGUAACAAAAAGUUCAACAAAUUUGUUAUACUUGUAAUUCUUGUUGGUGCUCCGGCUCCAACAAGC
RNAcentral lists this long non-coding RNA (984 nucleotides) under Carassius auratus (goldfish). RNAcentral's name for it is "lncRNA (ENSCARG00000058468.1)". The record is from RNAcentral. Lineage: Eukaryota; Metazoa; Chordata; Actinopteri; Cypriniformes; Cyprinidae.